GGUGGGCGGGCAGGACGGUAAUGCGCGGGUCUUGAAAACCCGUGAGCGAAAGCUCUAACAGGUUCGACCCCUGUGCCCACCG
This 82-nucleotide transfer RNA is filed under the name Candidatus Woesebacteria bacterium. RNAcentral's name for it is "tRNA-Ser". It matches the Rfam family "tRNA". Rfam says of the family: Transfer RNA (tRNA) molecules are approximately 80 nucleotides in length. Lineage: Bacteria; Candidatus Woeseibacteriota. The record is from RNAcentral.